Molecule: long non-coding RNA, 985 nt
Organism: Belonocnema kinseyi
Lineage: Eukaryota; Metazoa; Arthropoda; Insecta; Hymenoptera; Cynipidae
Exons: 2
Source: RefSeq, a predicted model, not a curated record
CCACGAUCUGGCAUCUCUGCUCUACUGAGCUUUAAGAGUGAGACUAAAUUUUUCCGGAGUGGGCGAGUAGGCAAGGUGGUGGAUAGCGCCGGUAGCGGUAUGCGGUAUUAUGUUGCAUGCAUGAAAUUUAAAGUGAAUGGAAAAAAGUUAUUAUUCUACAACUUCGACAAUGAAUAGAGGCGGCAGACCGAGGAAUCCAUGUUGGGAAGAAUUAUCCUUCCUUUAAAAAAAAAAAUGGUAAAAAUGUUGCGUUUUGUCAGGGAUGCAACCGUGUAUUAUCGAAUACGGCUAAAGAAAUGUUAAGAAACCACAGCAGCGAAAGAGCCUUUUGAAACACUUGGCCUCGACUUCAAUAUCAGGGAUGAGCAAAAUCCAUUAAACAUCAUCCAUCUCGACUACUCGCAUCUGAAGGCCCGGAUAAAGAAAACAGGAGAAAAACUUUCGUGAGCAGCUUCUGGACAAGAGGAUGUACGACUUGGCGUCGUACCGCCUAGGCGUGCCAAGGCGGUUUUGUUUUCACUUUAGCAUACUGUUCGUACGCUGUUAGAUAAUGUAAUUUCUUUGAUGAGCGAGAAAGUUUUUAAUGUCAAGGAUUGAUCACGAGGCGAAUUUUAAUUUAAAAAAAUGUAGUUUUGUUUUGUGUUAAGUACACUACAUGUUAAAAAUAAAGUAUUAACAUUUAUUGCACUUUACUCCGAACUCACUUCACGCGCCCACACACACACACACACAGCAUUUUAUUCUCAGUAUCUAAGGUGUUGCUUCAUAGCACUAGUGUCAGCGGAUGCUUGAGUUAUGAGUCAAUAAAAUAAAAUGAAGUAUUUUAACUCCCAGGGGUCUCGUAAGAGUAAUUAUUCUUUGUGUGUGUGUGUCUGUGUGUGUGUUACAGACAAAGUAUAUAAUCCGGCAAUAUAUAUAAUCCCUAGGAAUUAUAUAUAAUGCCUAUCAGAGGCCAGGCAAAGUAUGUAAUAAAUAUUCUCCAUUA